CCUGAACGCUGGCGGCGUGGCUAAGACAUGCAAGUCGCACGGGGUCGCAAGACCCAGUGGCGGACGGGUGAGUAAUGUAUCGCUAAUGUACCCUAGAGCCUGGGAUAGCUGCCCGAAAGGGCAGGUAAUACCAGAUGAUAUAACUUUAUCGCAUGAUAAGGUUCUCAAAGCAGCAAUGCACUCUUGGAGCAGGCGAUAUCGUAUCAGCUAGUUGGUGAGGUAACGGCUCACCAAGGCGAUGACGCGUAGCUGGUCUGAGAGGACGACCAGCCACAUCGGGACUGAGACACUGCCCGGACUCCUACGGGGGCUGCAGUAACGAAUCUUCCACAAUGCACGAAAGUGUGAUGGAGCGACGCGCGUGUAGAUGAAGUUCUUCGGAAUGUAAACUACUGUCAGGGGAAAGAAGUUCUGA
RNAcentral lists this ribosomal RNA (415 nucleotides) under uncultured bacterium. Its description in RNAcentral is "bacterial SSU rRNA". It matches the Rfam family "Bacterial small subunit ribosomal RNA", at positions 30 to 456 of the family's 1533-position model. The record is from RNAcentral.